Molecule: ribosomal RNA, 1054 nt
Filed under: uncultured bacterium
Lineage: Bacteria
Description: bacterial SSU rRNA
Rfam family: Bacterial small subunit ribosomal RNA
Source: RNAcentral
CCUACGGGAGGCAGCAGUAAGGAAUAUUGGUCAAUGGGCGCAAGCCUGAACCAGCCAUGCCGCGUGAAGGAUGACAGCCCUAUGGGUUGUAAACUUCUUUUGUACGGGAAAAAACCUCUGGUCGUGUAUCAGAGCUGAUGGUACCGUAAGAAUAAGCAUCGGCUAACUCCGUGCCAGCAGCCGCGGUAAUACGGAGGAUGCAAGCGUUAUCCGGAUUCAUUGGGUUUAAAGGGUGCGCAGGCGGAGUGAUAAGUCAGUGGUGAAAGCCUACAGCUUAACUGUAGAACUGCCAUUGAUACUGUCAUUCUUGAGUAUUGUAGAGGUAGGCGGAAUGUGUCAUGUAGCGGUGAAAUGCUUAGAUAUGACACAGAACACCGAUCGCGAAGGCAGCUUACCAAGCAAUAACUGACGCUCAUGCACGAAAGCGUGGGGAUCAAACAGGAUUAGAUACCCUGGUAGUCCACGCCGUAAACGAUGAUCACUCGAUGUUGGCGAUACACAGUCAGCGUCUUAGGGAAACUAUUAAGUGAUCCACCUGGGGAGUACGGUCGCAAGAUUGAAACUCAAAGGAAUUGACGGGGGCCCGCACAAGCGGAGGAGCAUGUGGUUUAAUUCGAUGAUACGCGAGGAACCUUACCUGGGCUCGAACGUGGAAUGACAGUCGCGGAAACGUGAUCUUCUUCGGACAUUCUACGAGGUGCUGCAUGGUUGUCGUCAGCUCGUGCCGUGAGGUGUCGGGUUAAGUCCCAUAACGAGCGCAACCCCUAUCUUUAGUUGCCAUCAGGUAAUGCUGGGGACUCUAAAGAAACUGCCUACGCAAGUAGUGAGGAAGGCGGGGAUGACGUCAAAUCAGCACGGCCCUUACGUCCAGGGCUACACACGUGCUACAAUGGCCGGUACAGAGGGCAGCUACCUGGUGACAGGAUGCAAAUCUCCAAAGCCAGUCUCAGUUCGGAUCGAAGUCUGAAACUCGACUUCGUGAAGUUGGAUUCGCUAGUAAUCGCGCAUCAGCCAUGGCGCGGUGAAUACGUUCCCGGGCCUUGUACACACCGCC